RNAcentral lists this ribosomal RNA (451 nucleotides) under uncultured Bifidobacterium sp. RNAcentral's name for it is "bacterial SSU rRNA". It matches the Rfam family "Bacterial small subunit ribosomal RNA", at positions 173 to 639 of the family's 1533-position model. Lineage: Bacteria; Bacillati; Actinomycetota; Actinomycetes; Bifidobacteriales; Bifidobacteriaceae. The record is from RNAcentral.
CUCCGACUCCUCGCAUGGGGUGUCGGGAAAGAUUAUAUCGGUAUGGGAUGGGGUCGCGUCCUAUCAGGUAGUCGGCGGGGUAACGGCCCACCGAGCCUACGACGGGUAGCCGGCCUGAGAGGGCGACCGGCCACAUUGGGACUGAGAUACGGCCCAGACUCCUACGGGAGGCAGCAGUGGGGAAUAUUGCACAAUGGGCGCAAGCCUGAUGCAGCGACGCCGCGUGCGGGAUGACGGCCUUCGGGUUGUAAACCGCUUUUGAUCGGGAGCAAGCCUUCGGGUGAGUGUACCUUUCGAAUAAGCACCGGCUAACUACGUGCCAGCAGCCGCGGUAAUACGUAGGGUGCAAGCGUUAUCCGGAAUUAUUGGGCGUAAAGGGCUCGUAGGCGGUUCGUCGCGUCCGGUGUGAAAGUCCAUCGCUUAACGGUGGAUCUGCGCCGGGUACGGGCGG